GACGAACGCUGGCGGCGUGCUUAACACAUGCAAGUCGAGCGGUAAGGCCCUUUCGGGGGUACGACGAGCGGCGAACGGGUAGGAGUAACAACGUGGGUGGACCUCGCCCUCCAGCUCUGGGAGUAAGCCUGGGAAACGUAGGGUCGUAAUACUGGAUAUGACUCCACGGUGCAUGUCGUGGGGUGGAAAGCCUUGUGCGGCUGAGGAUGGGCCCGCGGCCUAUCAGCUUGUUGGUGGGGUGGAUGGCCUACCAAGGCGACGACGGGUAGCCGGCCUGAGAGGGCGACCGGCCACACUGGGAC
This 302-nucleotide ribosomal RNA is filed under the name uncultured bacterium. RNAcentral describes it as "bacterial SSU rRNA". It matches the Rfam family "Bacterial small subunit ribosomal RNA", at positions 28 to 319 of the family's 1533-position model. The record is from RNAcentral.